AGCAGAACAUAUUAUAUCAUUCAUGUGAGACAAGGAGCAGGACAGGAGGGAGCUGAUCAAGUCUCACAGAUCAUGUCAGAUAAAUAUAUAUGUAUAAGAAGGAACUACUUUGAGAGUGUGUUAGAGUGAACUUCCAAGCCUGCAUGUACACAUUUAACGCGGGACACUUCAGCUGUAGUGAAUGCAUCCGACCCCCCAGCUCAACAACAGAGUAUAAUGACAACGUUAAGAGUUUUCGGUUUCAAAGAUACAGUUGGAGCAUGCUUAUUAACGUAUGCAGUCCGGACAGGAGAUGGGAUCCAGGAUUUGAGUCGUUCCCAAACUCCAGCCGGGUUUUAACUCCGAUCUGAGCGGCUCCUCUUCAGUAAAAUGUAACAAAGAACAGUCGGCAUGGCGGAUGGACCGGAGACGCAAACCACCAAACCGGAGUCGAUGCUCUUCAACGCCAGGCAGUCGGCGGUUGAGGCGGCGUAGCCUGAUGUUUAUCCAUUCCCAGAGUCGACACCCAACUCCCCCAGUGAUCCACAUUGUUUGAACCAAAUCAACAGCCUCCAAUCAGAGAUGGAGACAACAACUUCCAACAAACUUGUUUCAACAUCCAUCCAUUUUCAACCACUUAUCUGAAGCCGGGUCGUGAUGGCAGCAGGCCGAGCAAGGUAUUCCAGACGUCCCUCUUCCCAGCAACGCCUUCCAGCUCCUCCUGGGGGACCUUGAGGUGUCUCCAGGCCAGAUGGGAUAUGUAAUCCCUCCAGCGUGUUCUGGGUCUGCCCCGGGGCCUCCUACUAGUUGGACGUGCCUGGAACACCUCGAACGGAAGGCGCCAUGGAGGAUCCUGAUCGAAUGCCCGAACCACCUCAACUGACCCCUUUUGAUGCCAAGGAGCAGCGGCUCUACUCCGAGCUCCUGACCCUAUCUCUAAGGCUGAGCCCAGACAACGUACGUUAGAAACUCAUUUUGUCUGCUUGUAUCCACAACCUCAUUCUUUCGGUCACUACCCAGAGCUCAUGACCAUAGGUGAGGGCUGGGACGUAGAUGGACCAGUAAAUCGAAAUUGCCUUUCAGCUCAGCUCCCUCUUCACCACGAUUUGUUUUGACAAAUAAAUAAAAUUUUUAGAACGCA
Epinephelus moara (kelp grouper) is the source of this 1120-nucleotide long non-coding RNA. RefSeq lists it as uncharacterized. NCBI's taxonomy places the organism in Eukaryota, Metazoa, Chordata, Actinopteri, Perciformes, Serranidae. The record is from RefSeq and is a predicted model, not a curated record. The transcript is spliced from 3 exons.